RNAcentral lists this transfer RNA (88 nucleotides) under Hemiarma marina. Its description in RNAcentral is "tRNA-Ser". It matches the Rfam family "tRNA". From Rfam's summary of the family: Transfer RNA (tRNA) molecules are approximately 80 nucleotides in length. Their secondary structure includes four short double-helical elements and three loops (D, anti-codon, and T loops). Further hydrogen bonds mediate the characteristic L-shaped molecular structure. tRNAs have two regions of fundamental functional importance: the anti-codon, which is responsible for specific mRNA codon recognition, and the 3' end, to which the tRNAs corresponding amino acid is attached (by aminoacyl-tRNA synthetases). tRNAs cope with the degeneracy of the genetic code in two manners: having more than one tRNA (with a specific anti-codon) for a particular amino acid; and 'wobble' base-pairing, i.e. permitting non-standard base-pairing at the 3rd anti-codon position. Lineage: Eukaryota; Cryptophyceae; Goniomonadida; Goniomonadaceae. The record is from RNAcentral.
GGAGGAAUGGCCGAGCGGUCGAAGGCGGCGAUUUUGAAAAUCGUAGUUCCGCAUACCGGAACCGUGGGUUCGAAUCCCUCUUCCUCCG